This 367-nucleotide long non-coding RNA is filed under the name Salvia miltiorrhiza (redroot sage). RNAcentral describes it as "long non-coding RNA (SMIL_LNC003625)". The record is from RNAcentral. Lineage: Eukaryota; Viridiplantae; Streptophyta; Magnoliopsida; Lamiales; Lamiaceae.
AAAUAAAAUAACAUUAAUUAUGCGUACAACGUUCGCUCUUAUUGCUAGUAAAACUAAAAGAACCUAAAAAAAUGAAAAAAAAAUUAGUAAUUGAAACAUUAAAUCAUAAGUACAGGAACCUCUAAGCAUGAUUUACCUUUUACCAAUCACCAAAAAUGGUAUUCCUCACCCAUUUACUCUAAUGUCUCAUGAAAGAGCCUGUCGAAUAAUAUAUAAGUUGACAGCAAGGCACAAAUCACUAAAACAACCUAAUUACAUUAGAAGAUAAAUAAAGUUUUUCCUAUUUGCUCUACAACUGCUAUAUCUACCAAAAAUCAACACACCUCUCAACUUCAGCCUAACCCUAAAGAAGUAGGGUGGUUUCGCU